CAAUAGCGUAUAUUAAAGUUGUUGCGGUUAAAAAGCUCGUAGUUGGAUUUCUGUCUGGGGAGACCGGUCCGCCCUCUGGGUGAGCAUCUGGCGCUGCCCGGGCAUCCUCUUGGGGAACGUAGUGCACUUGAUUGUGUGGUGCGGUACCCAGGACUUUUACUUUGAGGAAAUUAGAGUGUUUCAAGCAGGCUUCUGCCUUGAAUACAUUAGCAUGGAAUAAUAAGAUAGGACCUCGUCGCUACCUUGUUGGUUUUUAGUGGCUUGGUAAUGAUUAAUAGGGAUAGUCGGGGGCAUUCGUACUUAACUGUCAGAGGUGAAAUUCUUGGAUUUGUUAAAGACGAACUACUGCGAAAGCAUUUGCCAAGGAUGUUUUCAUUGAUCAAGAACGAAAGUUAGGGGAUCGAAGACGAUUAGAUACCAU
RNAcentral lists this ribosomal RNA (421 nucleotides) under uncultured eukaryote. RNAcentral describes it as "SSU rRNA". It matches the Rfam family "Eukaryotic small subunit ribosomal RNA", at positions 592 to 1018 of the family's 1831-position model. The record is from RNAcentral.